RNAcentral lists this long non-coding RNA (1807 nucleotides) under Citrus x clementina. RNAcentral's name for it is "Citrus clementina (C. clementina) long non-coding RNA (CCLE_LNC004469)". The record is from RNAcentral. Lineage: Eukaryota; Viridiplantae; Streptophyta; Magnoliopsida; Sapindales; Rutaceae.
AAAAAUUAAAUAACUCAAAACUGUUAAAAAUUAGGUGAUUGAAUCAGUGUUGAGAGGACAUGGUCGAAUUCAUUGCGAAAACCCAUUAAUUCUUGAAAUCUGUUUCACACAUAGUAAAAUCAGAUCAUGAAAUUAAUUGCUAAUUGAAGUGCGGUCCUAUGAGGCUGAAGUAAUUUUGAAAUUGCGGCAGAGAAAUUGAAGACAAUUAUAUCGUUGUGGCAGCCAACAACGACCGACAUUGGGUGGAGCCGAAACUUUAGGAAUUAGGCAAAUGUAAUUAUAUGGGAAAAGGUUGGAAAAAAGUCUGUUUGAUCCGUUGAUUAGCCAUUCGAUCGGAUGCAGCGGGUAACUACUGAUAAGAAAUUGUAAAUUUUGAAUGAAAGAUUUAAUUGUGGUAAUGAAGUUAGGAUUUUUUGUUAUGUUUUUUAUGGAAGAAUUAGAGAAGGGGAGAAUGCUUUCCAGGAAGCAUUGUUUAAUUUCUUUGUUUAAUUAUUGUUACUGGAUUUGUAAUGUAUUUGAACUUGAAAAUAAGAAAACAGUAAGAUUUUGAAUUCGUUGUUGGAGCUUUUAGAAUUUAGAUGUGUUUGGUUAAUACUUAUCUCAUAUUCUCCAGCUGCAAUGCUUCUUUUUUUGAUGUAACAACUCCCAGUUUGUUAUAUUUCUCUAUUAGAUUUUUUAUUGUCAAAGGCUUUAGAUUCUUCCAAUUUCUUUUUUUUUUAUCACUAUUUUUCUCUUUCUAAUACUGAUGAUUUUGGUUUUGGUCUUGUUUUGUUGUUUUAAAAAUUUUCCAACCUAUGUAUUUGAUCAUGGUUUCAUACCGUCAGGUUUUACAGACAAAGAGGACCAAGAAGGCAGAAAUUGUUGGAAAGUAUGGUAUGUAUUAAGGCUAGUUUUAUUCAUUUUUCCGGUUUGUUUAGUGUCCUCAAGUAUAGAUGUUAUGGUAAUAUAGGCUUAGAUUUUUUUUUUCCCUUGGGAUAUUUUUAUAUCAAUAGCAGGUAGAAAUAUUAUAUCUCAUUAAGCUUUGAGCAUGAAUUGUGGGUUAUUGACAUGUUUAUUCAAGAAAGCUUGCUACUGGCAUUAUAUAAAUAGAAAUUUAUAAUAGGAAGCAUAUUAUGAAAAGCCUUGUGGUGGUCUUUCUCUAGCUUCUUGUUAUCCCUAGUUUGAUGCUUUAGUUUCUUUUUGCAUGUGUGGCUUGGGGAUCUUGGAAUUAUAAGUAUUAUUCUUUUCCAAGUACUCAUUAUGGUGCCAGUCUUAAGAAGGUGGAGGUCAGUCAACACAGUAAGUACUUCUGUGAAUUCUAUGGGAAGGUCAUACAUUCCCCUCUUUCCUGCUCUUUAUCAUUUUUCAUUUCUUUUUAUGCUCAUGGUUCAAUGACUGUUCGCUUUUGCUUGUGGAUGUAUUAAAUGUUUACAUAUUCCUUGCUGUAGGAAGUAUGCUGUGAAGAGGAAGGUUGUGGGAAUCUGCGGUUGCAAAGACUCUGGCAAAGUUGAAAGCUGGAGGUGCUUACACUUUGAAGAAACAUUCUCAUUGGCUGUCAUAUUUACUUUUAUAAUUCAAUUUAAAUGAUUCUAGAUUCUGUCCUAUGUUCCUUUUCAGGAUUUCUAGUGCUGUGACCGUGAAAAAUAUCAUUUGGAGGCUGAAGGAGCAGAUUGAGAGUUAAUUUUGUAGCCAAUCUAUCUUUUUUUUUCAUUUAUUUGUGAUGGGAGUAAUUCCUGGGGCAAGAUUGUCUAAAUGGAUUUCUAUACUUGGAUAUUUGGUUUAGAAAGUUUUGAAUUUGAAUCUCUUUAUUAAAUAGAUUUUAAUGGAC